GGAGGAAGAGGAGGAGAAGAAAGAAAGAAAGAAAGAAAGAAAGAAAGAAAGAAAGAAAGAUGGAUGCACAUUCAAGAAAACCUCUACUACAGCAAUCUGAAAAUGCUCCUCAAGAAGCUGUUACUUCCUCCCAUUUGCACAGGCACACACCUGGUGCUCUCCUCUCAGACCCUGCAAGUAAACAGAGACUCAUCUGAUCCACAAAGAAUAGGGAAACUGGAACAGAAAAAGUCACUUUCUCCUUUGGGAGCCUUGCAGACAAUCAGUGACGUCAACACAUCACACCUGAUUCAUCAAGGUCUGGAAAGGAGCCUUGCUGUCCAAGCUCUGGACUUGCCCGGCACAUGCGCAUCACAGUGGGCUUCCCAAGCACAGCUGUCAGCAAGAAGGCAACAACACAAAGGCGAGCAUGCGUCUUUUGUUUAUUGAUUCAAAGACACAUUUUUGAUGAUUGCAACAAAACUCAGUUAAAUGACUAUUGAGAUUGGAGGCUAACAGGGGGUAACUAAAUAAACAAAAGCUACUUCUU
Long non-coding RNA from Mus musculus (house mouse), 529 nucleotides. RefSeq annotates it as predicted gene, 30151. Lineage: Eukaryota; Metazoa; Chordata; Mammalia; Rodentia; Muridae. The record is from RefSeq and is a predicted model, not a curated record. The transcript is spliced from 2 exons.